GCAGUGGUACCCCUAGCAGGCCUCUGCCACCAACCUGGACUCUUCAGAGGAGCCAGUGUGACCUUGCUGUCGGGGCAGUGGGUUCCUCAGGUGGGAGCACUUUGGGCCCCCAGGAGCACACCUGCGGCACCUAGCUUUACUACUUUAUCAUCAGACCCCUGGCCUUGUAAUGCCCUCCCCACCUUUGUUUCCCUUCCUAGAAAAUGCUCCCCCUCCCUCUGGCCUCUACUUGAAUUCCCUGUGAUUCUCCCAGAAGCUCCGGUAUCGCCCUCAUGGAGCCCUCUCACCGGUCAAGGGCUGUGCCUUGGCUCCCAUCAUCCUCGGUGGCUCUGGCCUGCACUGCACAGAGACAGACAUACAUGCACAGGAGAGCCUGGCCCUGCUGUGGGAAGAGUUGGUGGAGUUGGCAUCCGAUGUCAGGAGGCCAUUGAGUGCCCCUGCGGCUGGCCUUCAACUCAGUCUGCAACGGAUCAGAAUGCCUGCUACAACCACACUGACUCACAACCACAAUCUCCACAACAACUGCAGCUCCAACAACCACACCGUAUGAUAGCUGAAAUGACGCCGUAACUGCAGCAGCCAGAGGAGCACACGACGCCAGCAACAAUCACCCUACUGUAUAGACACAGCCACCUGCAGCUGCCUCGUCGUCACCUGCCAUUUACGAAACAUGCACUCUGCUCUCACUUGGGACCCGGGUCCCCAGAGGGCCUCCCAGGCUCGAAAGCCUUCAGGUGGUAAGGGGUGGGAUGGAGUUCCUCAGGGGAACCAGGUUCAGGACAAAGCCACCUCCUUUGAGAGAAGGUGUAGUCCCUUGAGGACCCCCUGUCAAAUUGACCAUAAGCCCUCCAGGCCCAGCGUCCUUCUGAUUCUUUUCCAGUGGUUGCCCUGAGAUACUUAUGCUGCCCUCUAAGCAUAAAUAAAUGGCCUUUGUGCCUGACGAACAGGGCGAGUUGGCUCGAUUUCCUUUGGUGCUUGCGGCUCACGUCCUGUGGCACCAGGCAGCAGCUAGCCAAUCUCAAACCCCAAGGGAGGUCAAUGCUGUCCCUUUAGCAACUCUGUUCUGACAGCCUUUGGCUGGCCGCUGCCAUCCAGCUCAGCCAAAAGCACAGUACCUG
This 1118-nucleotide long non-coding RNA is filed under the name Fukomys damarensis (Damara mole-rat). RNAcentral describes it as "lncRNA (ENSFDAG00000023759.1)". The record is from RNAcentral. Lineage: Eukaryota; Metazoa; Chordata; Mammalia; Rodentia; Bathyergidae.